Peromyscus leucopus (white-footed mouse) is the source of this 139-nucleotide small nucleolar RNA. RefSeq annotates it as small nucleolar RNA SNORA48. The transcript has a single exon. The record is from RefSeq and is a predicted model, not a curated record. Lineage: Eukaryota; Metazoa; Chordata; Mammalia; Rodentia; Cricetidae.
CACCCCUGGCAAUGGGCAAAGAGACCCCUUGGUUGGUGGUCUUCUAUUGGUCAGGGACAGAGCAGAUGGCAGUCCUUUGGUCUUCCUAGUUCGGUGCCUACCUUGGUGACCAAAGCUGUUUCAUGCCUAGGGCACAUAA